This 66-nucleotide transfer RNA is filed under the name Trichogramma pretiosum. RNAcentral's name for it is "tRNA-Trp". Lineage: Eukaryota; Metazoa; Arthropoda; Insecta; Hymenoptera; Trichogrammatidae. The record is from RNAcentral.
AAAAUUUUAAGUUAUUAAAACUUUUAGCCUUCAAAGCUUAGAAUAUAAUUUUUAUUAUAAAUUUUA